This 154-nucleotide non-coding RNA is filed under the name Glacieibacterium frigidum. RNAcentral describes it as "6S / SsrS RNA". It matches the Rfam family "6S / SsrS RNA". Rfam says of the family: E. coli 6S RNA was the first non coding RNA to be sequenced, but its function was unknown until recently. It consists of 184 nucleotides that fold into an extended hairpin structure with a large single-stranded internal bulge. The record is from Rfam by way of RNAcentral. Lineage: Bacteria; Pseudomonadati; Pseudomonadota; Alphaproteobacteria; Sphingomonadales; Sphingosinicellaceae.
CGGGCACUGCCUCGUGCGAGCUUAUAUUUCCCUGAGGCGAUUCACUCUCCUAGGGGGCUGUCUCUGGGCGGAUCUUGGUCCGCACUAAAUGGCUCCCACCUGAUGUACUUGGCAUCAGAGGAUCUCACGAGCAAACGGCUAUGGCGGUCCCGCC